AGUUCAGACAAAGCCCUGUCACGAGAAAAGACUCAAGUCGUGACAGGAGAGAAGCACGGACGGUGACACAGUGAAACCCAGUGAAAGACAGUGUGUGUGACAGAGUGAAUUGACCGCGGUGGUGUGUCAAAACUGUUUCCUACUUGAGAAAUAUAUUUUAUUCAUUAAGAGACAAAAGGAAAAACCCAUUUGUCCCAGACUUUUGGCUAACUCUAUUUGAUCUUUAAGGGAAUUGGUAUUCAAGUGAGCCUUUUUGAAAAUUUUUGUUGCUCUUGGCCGGCUUUCCCUUUUGCAUAAAAAAAAAAAAAAAUCUUUAUUCACCGUAAGACAAAUGAUAAGAUGAUUGACGGACAAGAGUUACUGGGAUCAACAGUGACAACAGUGACAAAUCUUUAACUCUAUUCAAUCCAUAAUACCCGCCCGCCAGUAACAACGGUGUGGCAGCUCACAGGGCAUCAACAAGACCCAGAACACUGUGAAACAAGACGCUUUGUGGGUUAAACAGACUUCAGCGACUGGUCCACGGUACUCAAGGUCACAGCGUGAUACUCAAAGCCACAGCGUGAUACUCAAGGCCACAGCGCGGUACUCAAGGUCCCUGCGCGCUACUCAAUGCCACAGCGCGGUACUCAAGGUCACAGUGCGGUACUCAAGGUCACAGUGCGGUACUCAAGGCCACAGCGCGGUAAUCAAGGCCACAGCGCUGUACUCAAGACCACAGCGCGGUACUCAAGGCCACAGCGCGGUACUCCUGGCACACAGCGAGUGAACAUCAUCGCAAGAAGCAGCAAGGCGUGGGUGUGAUACUGACGCCCACAUGCAGCCACACACCCACCUCAACACCGCUCUCCACGACCCAGGUUUGACGGGCGCACCACCCACUAGCCACCCAACAACGCAGUCACCACCAGCCACCCACGGGCCACCCAGACAGAUCCCCGGUGUGACCUGCCAGGGUGACAGAGAACUGCAUGGAAGAUACCAAGACAUCGCAGGAGUGCAUCUGUCAUCGCUCAUCUGCCCGACAGUGCUUCUCCCUUAUCGUAGACACGACUUAUAAAAAGACACGCUUUAUUGUCGUUGACAUUUAAGAUUCAUGCUCUGAAAAGUGUAGCAGGAUUAGAAGAUUCAAAUUGUGAUCAACUCCAGCUUUAACCAGAAGUUUAACCAGGAGAUUACCAAACCAAGCCACAGCCAUGGCAGACCCCACAAAAACCCUGAAACAUGAAAAUAACACAAAUAUUGUGAGUAUCCCUAUAUUUUCUGGAGAGAGCAGCGACAUAAACUUGGACAGUUAUAUCGCCACAGUGGAAGCCUAUAUCGCCAACAAAGGAAUUAAGGACGACACACAGAAAAUUGAAGCAUUCAAGGCAAACAUUCAUCCCGACAAGGGCCGUGCUAGAUCCAUCAUCAAAUGCAGACAUUUUGUAGAGGACUUAAAGACAUAUCAGGAUUAUGUGAGUGAGUUCAGGGAACACUUCCCCCUUAAUAUCCCCUCAGGAUCAUGGUCAAGCACCUGGCUAUGACGAGGAAACCAGGCGAAGACACCACAGAAUAUUUAGUCUUUCUCAAAGCAAAUAGAAGACACUAUCAGGGGAACACCGUGGACCCACGCAAACAAUGCCACUCUAGUUCUAUUGCCUAUGAUGAGCAAAAUGCUCGCGAUGGCCCACAUAAUUAACGACAGCCAAGGGUCAGUAAGGGAAAAGUUGUAUGAAGAUCUAAACCACAAUAUACAUCUAAGCCAAAUUGACUAUAUGGUCAAAAAAUAUUUAGAAGACCCAGUAUGUGUCGCCAAGAAGACAACGAUCUCCUCCAUCCCGGCACACUAGAGCCAGGACUCCAGCCACCAGUAAGACACACGCGCUCGCUAAGAACCUGAAGCCAUUCAAAACACAGAAGGUUACUCCAGUGUUACACUUGCCGCAGAAUGGGACAUCUGGCGAAGGAUUGCUUCUCACAAGCAAUCUGCGAGAACUGCCAAUGUCAAGGACACCUGGAGAAUAUGUGUAGGAAUCCUCCUUGGUGUGUCUACCACCAGGGGAUGGGGCACCGUACUACAGACUGUAGACGGGAAUCUGCAGGACACACUAAAUUUUCACCAGGCUUCCUACCUGUAGGUAGGGAACAGCCUUGCAGACAGCCCCCUCAGCAACAGCCGCAGCAGCAACAGUAGGAACACAAACUGUGUCUCCCGCACACCCAACACCUUCUCGGACAAGCAAACGGCCGCGUGAAAUGGGUCUGGACUGUGUCAGAUCUCACUGUACACACACCCGCAUUAGUGGGGGGCCUUAUGUAGAAAAUUGGUAAGAAUUGUGCAUUUUGGGUUAAAAGCAUGAAAAUUGGCUUGAAGGUAGCUUUAUACAUACUUUUAAGAUUUAGAUAUAGUGCCAUCUCAGAUUUGUCCCGUAAGUCCCAUUUUUCAAGAUGGCCGCCAAAUAUGUCAAAUUAUGUAUUUUAUGGUUAUACAGCAAUUAUUUCCUAUUUUAUACCCAGUAUGUAACGAAAUGCUAUGUAAACCCAAUUUCUACUUAUAUAAGUAUGCCUACAAACCAUAAAUAUGCAAAACUCUGAAGUUUCAUCACCAAUUAGGCCUAAUUACCAUAAUUUAUUCAUAAAACUUGCGAAAACGUUGAUUUGUGAUGUGAAUUUCUAAUAUAUACAGUAUCAAGAAUUUGUGAAAACCAGACUGCAGGACAAGACUGUCAGUAUUUGAUCCAAUUCACAAGAAUAAGUUUCCACUAUUUAAAUCUCCUCAGAAGAAGGCACCAUCAAAGCUGCAUCAACAAAUUAAAGUAGCAAAGAAAGAUGUGAGAGUCUUUUCAGACCUCUAUGUGUCCUGCCAGGUCAGACAGGGAGAUAUAGCAACCUUCUUUGCUCAUGAAAACCAGACCAAGCCACCCGCAUUAGUGGCCCCUGGAGACAAACAGUCAACCAAAUCAGAUAUCAUGGAGGUCUUGGAAAGCCUAAUUGAACCUAGUCUACUGUUGCCAGCACAGCCUAUGUUUUAGAUGGACCAGCCAUCAUUCAUAUGCUGAUCCCAAACCUCAGUUGUAAAACCUUUGGAGACUAUGCCAAGUUAGUGUUCCAACAUUAUGUACAGGAGCUACUGGAGAGUUCAAAUCGGGUUGACAUUGUUUGGGAUGAUUAUCUUGAACAUAGUCUGAAAUAGGCAACUCGAGAAAAUCGAGGAACAGGUCAGCGUAGGAAAGUGAUGGAAAACACUGUGCUGCCUUCAAACUGGGUCUCCUUUCUAAAUGUUCCGGAGAACAAAAAGGAACUUUUCCAGCUCCUUUCUGAAUAUGCAAAAAGUAUGCACAUUCCUGAGGGCAAACAGGUUUUUGCAACAUCUGGCAGAAAAGUCCUCAGCAAACCAGCUGGUCUUGACAUCAGUGAUAUGUCACCUUGUUCUCAUGAAGAAGCCGACACACGGAUUUUUGUGCAUUACAAGGAUGCAGUUGACAAGGGUCACCAGUCUGUUAAAGUUCGAACAGUAGACGGUGAUGUUGUAGUAAUUGGGGUAGCAGUGGCUUCUUUCAUGAAUGCUGACAUGUGGAUCGUAUAUGGAACUGGUGACCAUCGACGUAUCAUUCCAGCUCACAGCAUUGCACAGGCACUUGGUCCAGUCAAAGCUAAGUGUCUGCCUGCCUUCCAUGCCUUUACAGGCUGUGAUACUGUGCCAUCGUUCCAGUUGAAAGGAAAAAAAGUCAUUCUGGAAAGCCUGGGAAUCUUUUGAUGGUGUGACUGAAUCAUUCCAGUCAUUACAGGACAGUCCUGGUCUGUUUCCAGAGGAGAUCGUCAGAAAUCUGGAGAGAUUUGUUAUUCUUGUAUAUGACAAGAACAGUGUAGAUGUUGAUGUGAAUGCAGCAAGAAGGAAUCUGUACUCCAGGAAAAACAAGGCAAUUGAAAAUAUCCCCCCAACCAAAGCAGCUCUUGUGCAGCAAGCAAAAAGAGCAACAUAUCAAGGUGGCCAUGUUUGGGGUAAUUGUUUGAUCUGCAUGCCAAAUCUGCCUUGUCCCUCAGAGUGGGGAUGGAAGAAAAAUGAAGCUGGGGUAUCAUUGUGGACAGCUUUAGCAGAUGUACCCCAGGUUUGCUUGGAGUUGAAGAGAUGUGGUUGUAAAACGGGAUGCAAAACAAAAAGAUGUACCUGCAAAGGACUGAACUUGAAGUGCACAGGUUUUUGCACCUGCAAUGGAAAUUGUUAUAAAACAUAAAUGACUCAUUUGUAUCAACUGAGAGAUUUGAAUUUUUCUAUUAAGAUAUUGCAAAGAACUUUCAUAUCAGAGUGAUUUUACCUUUACGGUUUAUUUUCCUUAGAUAAGAUUGUUGAGAUAUGAUAGGAGCCAAAUUGAUAUUUUGAAUACAUAAAUCAUUGAAUGUAAUUUUGUAAACCUAAAAGAUCUUUAAUUUGACUAAAAAUAUCAAAAUCGAUUGUCAAUAUCCUAAAGAUAAGAAGAUGAGAUUGGAUAGUUAUAUUUUUAUCAAUUAGAAGUUAUGAAAUUGGGUUUAGUGUUUCCAAGGUACAUAUCAUUUUCAUUUGUCUUGAUUAUUGUUGCUCAGAAAGCAAUCUAGAGUGAAUAUUGAUAUUUUUCAACAUGUUUCCUUUUUCACAUUAUUAAAUGGAGCUUAUUCAAUUUUGUUAACCAUUAGCAGUCUGUUUAUUUUUAAGAUUUAAGAUUUGUUUUUUUACAAAACAUUAACUUUGUAAAAUAACUUACCAAAUCAAUGGAUUGUACAUUUAACAUUUAUAGUUUCGAAUACAAUU
This 4768-nucleotide long non-coding RNA is filed under the name Portunus trituberculatus (swimming crab). RNAcentral describes it as "uncharacterized LOC123505873". The record is from RNAcentral. Lineage: Eukaryota; Metazoa; Arthropoda; Malacostraca; Decapoda; Portunidae.